This 2003-nucleotide unclassified non-coding RNA is filed under the name Actinia tenebrosa (Australian red waratah sea anemone). RNAcentral describes it as "cyclin-Q-like, transcript variant X1". Lineage: Eukaryota; Metazoa; Cnidaria; Anthozoa; Actiniaria; Actiniidae. The record is from RNAcentral.
ACAAACAAUAACCAAAACUUCAAAUAUCGUAAUAAAAGUUAAUUUCCCCCGAUUAUUUCUCAAACGAGCCGCGAAAAUAAAAGCUUAGAGGUUUCAUGGUGGCCAUAGGUAUUUAAUGAAGCUGGUGCAUCAAGAAGAACAAUGACAGAUAUGGCAAAAGUUUCGGCCAAACUUGAGGACGUUAGUGUCCUGAAAGACAAGAAAAAAGAAGAGGCUACAAAUAGUGAAAGAAAGAGAGGGAAUUAUCUAUAUCUUAAAGAACAUUUUAAAGUAACUUCUUUUAUCAUGGAGUCUGGCUGUAAGCUCAGACUGUCGGCAGUAACAGUGUCAACAGCAUGUGUCUUGUACCAUCGUUUCUGGAUAGAAUCUGUAUCAUUAUGCAAAAAAGAGGACUUUGAUGCUGAGUCGAUUGGAACUGCAGUUCUAUUUUUGGCAUCUAAAGCAGAAGAAUCUCCACGUAAAUUAAGAGAUGUUAUCAAUGUCUGUUAUAAGACCACUCACAAGAAUGUACCAUUUCUCGAGGUUGGCAACAGGUACUGGGAGUUAAGAGACAGCAUAGUCAACUGCGAGUUAUUGGUGCUUAGAGUCUUAGCGUUUAAAGUGGAUACUGACAAGCCGCACAAGUACCUUCUUCAUUACCUCAAAUCUUUACAAGAUUGGGUUGAACCGGACGCUUGGCGCUUAAGCCAAGUAACCCAAUUAAGCUGGUCUAUACUCCGAGACAGCUACCAUAUUCCUAUCAUUCUUAAAUAUCCACCAUCACAUGUAGCUAUUGCUGUGAUUUACUUUGCUAUACUAUGUACUGGAAUGCAAGUCCCUUCACAUGAAGCACAGAAGACUUGGUGGAAGGCAAUGUGUGACACAGCCACUGAGAAAGAGCUUCAAGACAUAACAGAGGAUAUCAUGGACUUGUAUGAUUUUGAGAGCAAGCCGUUAUGACAGUACCUUAACAUUUAGGGCAAGGACAUACUAGAAACUAAAGCAUUUGAAAUAACAGCUCAUCAUGAAAUUGGUUUUUCACUGCUGCCAGUCAAGAACAUAAAAGGUACAUGUACUGUCUAUUUUUGAUUGAUGUCAGCUAAAAAUCAAAUUUCAGUGUACAGCUCACACCUAUCAAGUUCACAGAAUAUCGAUAACUGCGCUAAAUACUUUCAAAUUGUGUUCAUUUGUAUUAUUUCUCACGGUCCCAUGUUGCAUCUCUUUUUCCAAAUAAGAUUCUUUAUUUUUGAACUAGUUUUCUCUCUACUCAAGGGAAUGACAUGUAGUCUUACUGCGGUUUUCCCUAUUCUGCGAACUCCGUAGUUACAAGUUGCACGCUGCCGUCAGUCAAAUAUGAGUCGGUACCUUUUAUGUUCUUGACUGGCGGCAGUGAAAAGCCCAUUUCACAACAAGCCCUUGGAAUGUUCUCAGAAUAUGGAAAACUGCAUGUUGCAAAGGUAUAACCUUGGUAAUGAAUACUGGUAUCCAAGGGGCUCUCUGAUCCUGUACAAAAUUAAGGGGCAUAAAAAGGGGAAAGGGAGUAUUUCUGAGUAUCUUUUAUUUAUAAAAUCAAAAAAUUAUACAAAUUUAGUCCAUUAAAAAUUAUUUUAUUUUAUUUCUUUGUCAUAUAAGUACCAGAAGCCAAAGUUUAUACAAUUUUCUAGAUAUCUUUGUGUGUCUAAAACAUAGUGAAAACACUAAAAGCUUGAACAAUCACCAACCAAUGUGAUGAAUCCUCACAGAGAGAAAGAUAGUCCACCUUAUCUUAAAGCUUUUCUAUAAAUAUUUAUUUGCAAUGAAGCAAAACAGACUGUCAUUUUAUACACUAGAGUGUAGCGAUAUAUAUUUUCGUAUUCAUUUAUCUAGUAGACAAUAACAUAUUUUGUUUCAGAUUGUUAACUUGAACAAUAAAUCUAUUUUUAUCAAAAUUGGAUAUUGAAGAUCAAGGAUAUUGCCUGCAACAUAUUGCACCACUGUUGUCCAAUACUUACAGUUAAACUAAUUAAAUGCUAUAGACUGCAAAA